GCCAAUAGCACUCGAAACUCCGUGUGGGCAGCGAGUGUGCACUACCUCCUCUCCCCCAAAUCAAGGAUGGUUGCGAGGAUUGGGGUACUGAGUGACAGAGUUCAGAAGCUGUGUGUGUUUGCCAAGAGCCUCAGAGGUCAUGGUGAGACAGGGCUUCUCGGGGCUGGAGAGAUGGCUCAGUGGUUAAGAGCACUGACUGCUCUUCCAGAGGUCCUGAGUUCAAUUCCCAGCAACCACAUGGUGGCUCACAACCAUCUGUAAUGAGACCUGGCGCCCCCUUCUGGUAUGCGGGCACACAUGGAAGGAAUGCUGUACACAUAAUAAAUAAAUCUU
Alexandromys fortis (reed vole) is the source of this 333-nucleotide long non-coding RNA. RefSeq lists it as uncharacterized. NCBI's taxonomy places the organism in Eukaryota, Metazoa, Chordata, Mammalia, Rodentia, Cricetidae. The transcript is spliced from 3 exons. The record is from RefSeq and is a predicted model, not a curated record.